GACAGAGGUCCCGAGCAUUAGGCGGAAUCACUGGGCUUAAAGCGUGUGUAGGCGGCGGCCUAAGUACCUUGUGAAAUCCCACGGCUCACCCGUGGAACUGCUCGGUAUACUGGGUCGCUUGAGCCACUUAGGGGCUACCGGAACAAAUGGUGGAGCGGUGAAAUGCGUAGAUAUCAUUUGGAACGCCAAUGGUGAAAACAGGUAGCUGGGAGUGUGCUGACGCUGAGACACGAAAGCCAGGGGAGCAAACGGG
This 253-nucleotide ribosomal RNA is filed under the name uncultured bacterium. Its description in RNAcentral is "partial 16S ribosomal RNA". It matches the Rfam family "Bacterial small subunit ribosomal RNA", at positions 524 to 776 of the family's 1533-position model. The record is from RNAcentral.